This 591-nucleotide ribosomal RNA is filed under the name Microbisium sp. MCZ 60599. RNAcentral describes it as "partial large subunit ribosomal RNA". It matches the Rfam family "Eukaryotic large subunit ribosomal RNA", at positions 796 to 1376 of the family's 3401-position model. The record is from RNAcentral. Lineage: Eukaryota; Metazoa; Arthropoda; Arachnida; Pseudoscorpiones; Neobisiidae.
UAGAGCAUAUGCUCUGGGACCCGAAAGAUGGUGAACUAUGCCUGGGCAGGACGAGGCCAGAGGAAACUCUGGUGGAGGUCCGUAGCGAUUCUGACGUGCAAAUCGAUCGUCAGACCUUGGUAUAGGGGCGAAAGACUAAUCGAACCAUCUAGUAGCUGGUUCCCUCCGAAGUUUCCCUCAGGAUAGCUGGUGCUCGGAGGACCGGUCUCAUCCGGUAAAGCGAAUGAUUAGAGGCCUUGGGGCCGAAACGACCUCAACCUAUUCUCAAACUUUAAAUGGGUGAGAAGUCUGGCUUGCUCGACUGAAGUCCGGACAGAAAUUGGACGUGAGCACCAAGUGGGCCACUUUUGGUAAGCAGAACUGGCGAUGCGGGAUGAACCGAACGCCGGGUUAAGGCGCCCGAUGCGCGACGCUUAGCAGACCCCAUGAAAGGUGUUGGUUGCUAUAGACAGCAGGACGGUGGCCAUGGAAGUCGGAACCCGCUAAGGAGUGUGUAACAACUCACCUGCCGAAGCAACUAGCCCUGAAAAUGGAUGGCGCUCCAGCGUCGAGCCCAUACCCGGCUCCUGCGACGGGGAGAGUUAGGUCGCA